Molecule: long non-coding RNA, 1162 nt
Filed under: Chrysemys picta bellii (western painted turtle)
Lineage: Eukaryota; Metazoa; Chordata; Testudines; Emydidae
Description: lncRNA (ENSCPBG00000002622.1)
Source: RNAcentral
CCAUAUGAAUUUAAAAAAGAGAGUGGGGAAACAUGGACUGGCUUAUGUAGAGCGAUGGUAAAAACUGAGGCUCUAAGAAACAGUAAUAAGAGUAAAAAAGCAAAAAUUUUGCAACUCAUGUCUCUGGUAGUGAGACGGCUCAGACAGCAUGUUGGAAUGCUGGCCAAACAAGUCACAAAAAAAACAGGAGGAGUAGAAGAGGUAACCCGGGCAGUUGAGCACUGGAAAGCCCAAGCUCUGUUAGCACAGCAACAGGCGGGCCAAACUCAUGAUAUGCUCGAGCAAGUAAAGCAGGAAAAUAAAAAAUUGGAAACAGCUGUAAAAAACCUGCAGAAGCAAAAAGUGCCGUCCCCUGUUAUAAAUAUUGGUAGUAAACAGCAGGCUUCAGGUAGCUACCCUGUGCCUGAAGAAUGGGGACAGAAGUGGAAAAAGGUGGUCCUAGUAAAAUUAAAAGAUGAAACGGGGUCCACUGCAUUGCAACCAAUACCUUAUGAUAAAAGCCAGGUUCCAGUUAAACUUAAACUGAGACCUAGACUGGUGCCUGUCAGAACGGAACAAGUAAGUGCACAGAAGGAAAGAGUAGCACAUAAUACUUUCACAGAAUUGGUAAAUCAGAUGAAGGAAAAUAUGGAACAGUUCACAGAGCACAUUAGGAGACAGGAGCUGCGACUCGAUCGCAGGGAAGUGAAUAAAAAAGCAUUUCAAAGUAAAAAACCAAAAUUAAAUGGGUUAACACCUAAAAUUGAUACAAUAACACAUGGAGCUGCCCAAAACCAGUUAACUGCACCAAAAAAGGGCACUCCUGCCAUCCAUUUGGCAUGCACACAAAAGCAACAGACAUUGGGGGAACAAAUUCAGGUUUUACAAGAUCAGGUAACUACCCCCAUUCUCCUCUCAAAGCCAGGAUAAAAAACAGGGGUGCGGUUCCUAACUGUGCAGGUUCCCAACUGCUUUGACCCACGGAACCACACUCUACGCUCAUAUUUGAAAAUAGAAUAUUCUUUCUCAAAUAUUUUUACAUACCGGUUAAGGUUUGUCCUUUAUAUGCUUUCUUAGUUUGUUAAAUUUGCUGUUGCUGCCUGUACUUUCAAAUAUCUUGAUAGAGUUAAUCUCUCUUAGCUCAGGUCUCACUACCUUCCUAAGUUGCUCUGCACCCCCACCC